RNAcentral lists this ribosomal RNA (429 nucleotides) under uncultured bacterium. Its description in RNAcentral is "bacterial SSU rRNA". It matches the Rfam family "Bacterial small subunit ribosomal RNA", at positions 28 to 457 of the family's 1533-position model. The record is from RNAcentral.
GAUGAACGCUAGCGGCAGGCCUAACACAUGCAAGUCGAGGGGUAUAAAGUGCUUGCACUUUAGAGACCGGCGCACGGGUGCGUAACGCGUAUGCAAUCUACCUAUUGCAGGGGAAUAGCCCAGAGAAAUUUGGAUUAAUGCCCCAUAGUACUAUUGAAUAGCAUUAUUUAAUAGUUAAAGAUUUAUCGGCAAUAGAUGAGCAUGCGUCCUAUUAGCUAGUUGGUGUGGUAACGGCACACCAAGGCAACGAUAGGUAGGGGUCCUGAGAGGGAGAUCCCCCACACUGGUACUGAGACACGGACCAGACUCCUACGGGAGGCAGCAGUGAGGAAUAUUGGACAAUGGGCGAGAGCCUGAUCCAGCCAUGCCGCGUGCAGGAAGACUGCCUUAUGGGUGGUAAACUGCUUUUAUACAGGAAGAAACAUCCCG